This 253-nucleotide ribosomal RNA is filed under the name uncultured bacterium. RNAcentral describes it as "partial 16S ribosomal RNA". It matches the Rfam family "Bacterial small subunit ribosomal RNA", at positions 524 to 776 of the family's 1533-position model. The record is from RNAcentral.
GACAGAGGGGGCGAGCGUUAUCCGGAAUCACUGGGCGUAAAGCGUCUGUAGGUGGUGAUGCAAGUCACUGGUGCAAAACUCUGGCUCAACCGGAGGAAAGCCAGUGAAACUGCAUGACUAGAGUGUGGGAGAGGUAGAAGGAAUUCCCUGAGUAGCGGUGAAAUGCGUAGAUACAGGGAAGAACACCGGAGGCGAAAGCGUUCUACUGGAACACAACUGACACUGAGAGACGAAAGCUAGGGGAGCGAAUGGG